This 500-nucleotide ribosomal RNA is filed under the name uncultured cyanobacterium. Its description in RNAcentral is "bacterial SSU rRNA". It matches the Rfam family "Bacterial small subunit ribosomal RNA", at positions 381 to 896 of the family's 1533-position model. The record is from RNAcentral. Lineage: Bacteria; Bacillati; Cyanobacteriota.
CCGUGACGGAGCAAUACGCGUGAGGGAUGACGGCCUAUGGGUUGUAAACCUCUUUUUCAGGGAGGAAUCAAUGACGUGUACCUGAAGAAUAAGCAUCGGCUAACUCCGUGCCAGCAGCCGCGGUAAGACGGAGGAUGCAAGUGUUAUCCGGAAUCACUGGGCGUAAAGCGUCUGUAGGUGGUCCAAUAAGUCAACUGUUAAAUCUUGAGGCUCAACCUCAAAAUCGCAGUCGAAACUAUUAGGCUAGAGUAUAGUAGGGGUAAAGGGAAUUUCCAGUGGAGCGGUGAAAUGCGUAGAGAUUGGAAAGAACACCGAUGGCGAAGGCACUUUACUGGGCUAUUACUAACACUCAGAGACGAAAGCUAGGGUAGCAAAUGGGAUUAGAUACCCCAGUAGUCCUAGCCGUAAACAAUGGAUACUAGAUGUUGAACAGAUCGACCUGUGCAGUAUCAAAGCUAACGCGUUAAGUAUCCCGCCUGGGAAGUAUGCUCGCAAGAGUG